This 301-nucleotide ribosomal RNA is filed under the name uncultured bacterium. RNAcentral's name for it is "partial 16S ribosomal RNA". It matches the Rfam family "Bacterial small subunit ribosomal RNA", at positions 509 to 807 of the family's 1533-position model. The record is from RNAcentral.
CAGCAGCCGCGGUAAUACGUAGGUGGCAAGCGUUGUCCGGAAUUAUUGGGCGUAAAGGGCUCGCAGGCGGUUUCUUAAGUCUGAUGUGAAAGCCCCCGGCUCAACCGGGGAGGGUCAUUGGAAACUGGGAAACCUGAGUGCAGAAGAGGAGAGUGGAAUUCCACGUGUAGCGGUGAAAUGCGUAGAGAUGUGGAGGAACACCAGUGGCGAAGGCGACUCUCUGGCCUGUAACUGACGCUGAGGAGCGAAAGCGUGGGGAGCGAACAGGAUUAGAUACCCCGGUAGUCCCUGUCUCUUAUAC